RNAcentral lists this ribosomal RNA (428 nucleotides) under Bacteroidota bacterium. Its description in RNAcentral is "Bacteroidetes bacterium partial 16S ribosomal RNA". It matches the Rfam family "Bacterial small subunit ribosomal RNA", at positions 355 to 775 of the family's 1533-position model. The record is from RNAcentral. Lineage: Bacteria; Pseudomonadati; Bacteroidota.
UAGGGAAUCUUCCGCAAUGGACGCAAGUCUGACGGAGCAACGCCGCGUGAGUGAAGAAGGAUUUCGGUUCGUAAAACUCUGUUGUUAGAGAAGAACAGCGCAUAGAGUAACUGUUAUGCGUGUGACGGUAUCUAACCAGAAAGCCACGGCUAACUACGUGCCAGCAGCCGCGGUAAUACGUAGGUGGCAAGCGUUGUCCGGAUUUAUUGGGCGUAAAGCGAGCGCAGGCAGUCAAUUAAGUCUGAUGUGAAAGCCCCCGGCUCAACCGGGGAGGGUCAUUGGAAACUGGUUGACUUGAAUGCAGAAGAGGAGAGUGGAAUUCCAUGUGUAGCGGUGAUAUGCGUAGAUAUAUGGAGGAACACCAGUGGCGAAGGCGACUCUCUGGUCUGUAACUGACGCUGAGGUUCGAAAGCGUGGGUAGCAAACAG